Molecule: ribosomal RNA, 513 nt
Filed under: uncultured bacterium
Lineage: Bacteria
Description: partial 16S ribosomal RNA
Rfam family: Bacterial small subunit ribosomal RNA
Source: RNAcentral
GACGAACGCUGGCGGCAUGCCUAAUACAUGCAAGUCGAGCGAACAGAUGAAGUGCUUGCACUUCUGACGUUAGCGGCGAACGGGUGAGUAACACGUAAGGAAUCUACCUAUAAGCGGGGGAUAACAUUCGGAAACGGGUGCUAAUACCGCAUAAUAUCUUCUUCCGCAUGGAAGAAGAUUGAAAGACGGCUCUGCUGUCACUUAUAGAUGACCUUGCGGUGCAUUAGUUAGUUGGUGGGGUAACGGCCUACCAAGACGAUGAUGCAUAGCCGACCUGAGAGGGUGAUAGGCCAGAUUGGGACAGAGAGACGGCCCAAACUCCUACGGGAGGCAGCAGUAGGGAAUCUUCCGCAAUGGGCGAAAGCCCGACGGAGCAAUGCCGCGUGAGUGAAGAAGGCCUUCGGGUCGUAAAACUCUGUUAUAAGAGAAGAACAAAUUGUAGAGUAACUGCUACAGUCUUGACGGUAUCUUAUCAGAAAGCCACGGCUAACUACGUGCCAGCCGCCGCCGUAA